ACGGGUGCGAUAUCAGCCUUCCAAGCUGGUAGCGUGGGUUCGAUUCCCAUCACCCGCU
Molecule: transfer RNA, 58 nt
Filed under: Paenibacillus sp. PDC88
Lineage: Bacteria; Bacillati; Bacillota; Bacilli; Caryophanales; Paenibacillaceae
Description: tRNA_Gly_TCC
Rfam family: tRNA
About the family: Transfer RNA (tRNA) molecules are approximately 80 nucleotides in length. Their secondary structure includes four short double-helical elements and three loops (D, anti-codon, and T loops).
Source: RNAcentral